Molecule: ribosomal RNA, 406 nt
Filed under: uncultured bacterium
Lineage: Bacteria
Description: partial 16S ribosomal RNA
Rfam family: Bacterial small subunit ribosomal RNA
Source: RNAcentral
AUUGAACGCUGGCGGCAGGCCUAACACAUGCCAGUCGAGCGAGCGGCGGACGGGUGAGUAAUGCCUAGGAAUCUGCCUGGUAGUGGGGGAUAACGUCCGGAAACGGGCGCUAAUACCGCAUACCAUCAGAUGUGCCCAGAUGGGAUUAGCUUGUUGGUGGGUUAACGGCUCACCAAGGCGACGAUCCCUAGCUGGUCUGAGAGGAUAACCAGCCACACGGGAACGGAGACACGGUCCAGACUCCUACGGGAGGAAGCAGGGGGGAAUAUGGCACAAUGGGCGCAAGCAUGAUGCAGCCAUGCCGCGUGUAUGAAGAAGGCCUGCGGGUGGGAAAGUACUUUCAGCGGGGAGGCGUUACCCGCAGAAGAAGCACCGGCUAACUCCGUGCCAGCAGCCGCGGUAAUUC